This 1011-nucleotide long non-coding RNA is filed under the name Sarcophilus harrisii (Tasmanian devil). Its description in RNAcentral is "lncRNA (ENSSHAG00000030070.1)". Lineage: Eukaryota; Metazoa; Chordata; Mammalia; Dasyuromorphia; Dasyuridae. The record is from RNAcentral.
CCUCCCCCGCCCCGUUUAUCUGCGUGGUUCAGUGCCCUACGUCUUACUGCUCUCGCUCUCUCCCUGAAACUCCCAGUGUUUUCUGAAGGCUAGAGCUGUGCGGGGUCUAGCGCCCUACUUGUUGGCCGUUUGCGAGACGUAGACUUAACUCUGACUAAUACACCCAAUUCCCGCCACUAUGCUUCGUGACUGGGGAGGAAAAACGACCCCCCAACUAGUCCCGCUACUGCCUGGGACGGACGUUAAGUUCUUGGCUGUGAAGACAGGAUUUGCACUCGCGUCUCCGCCAGCUGGGAAACGUGUUAAUAGCAGGGAAUGUCCCCUCCUGUCCUGCCAACAGGUGGAAUGGAGUUGGUGUAUUUCGGCAGUCGGUUCCCGGGUCCUGAAAUAAUGGUUUGUGGUCUGACUACUAAACCCAUGUAGCUGAUAUCUGGAAAGAAUUCUGAGCAGCUUGGUAAACUAUAAAGCCUUAAAUUUAGAAUUCAAAAAAGGAGAGACGGUAUGGAAGGCUUGCCUUGAAAUUAAGAAGAUGGGUUCAUAUCCUGCCUUUUAUGACCAUGGACAAAUAACUAGUCUUAAGACAACUCUAAAAUUAAGUUACAGCAGUUUCAGCAUCUGACAUCUCAGAAACCACAGGUCAUAACCACCAUUCCACCUACCAAAAAUAACUUAGAAUAUUUCAGUUACAUGAGGUGAUUCAGGCCAGUUCCAAUGGUCUUGUGAUAAAGAGAGCCAUCUGCACCCAGAGAGAGGACUGUGGGGACUGAGUAUGGAUUACAAUAUAGGAUUUUCACUUUUUUUGUUGUUGUUUGUUUGCAUUUUGUUUUCUUUCUCAUUUUUUUUUCCUUUUUAAUUUGAUUUUUCUUGUGCAGCAUGAUAAUUGUGGAAAUAUGUAUAGAAGAAUUGCACAUGUAUUGGAUUAUUUGCCAUCUGAGGAAGGGAGCGGGGAGAGAAGGGAAGGAAAAAAAUUUGCAACACAAAGUUUUGCAGGGAGUGAUUGUUGAAAAUUAU